AUGUCUAAGCGGCAGCGGGGACAGGAGAAGCAGGCGAACUGCGCCUGCAAAAGGUCACGGCCUGAACCUGAUCGGAAGCACCUCUAUCUGGUACUCGAUGACUGGGAAGAUGGGUUCAGCAUCCACAAGAUUGACGCCGCCGACGAUGACGCGGACCUUGGCCAGCCACCCGUCCUCCGGUUGGUGUCGCCGGCACCUGCUUAUCCAAUGCGCUUUGCGGUCCUGGGCAGCAACAUCGUCAUCGUCACCGACCCAUAUUGUGGUCAGGCUCCCACACUUGUCUAUGACACGAAAAGAACAGGACUCGCCGUCGGCCCUCCACUCCCCGGUCCACUGGUAGGUGAUUUCCACGCCUCCGUGGCCACUGCGGAGAUGCUGUAUGCGCUGAGUUUUUGCCAGUGGGGUCAGCAGCACUCCUUUGAGGUGAUGUCUCGGGCUCCUCCAAGUCCUCGUACCAUGGGCUGGUCAUGGAGAAGCGUGCCCUCGCCGCCGCCGUUCGAGGAGGAUGAAUGGAUCACCUCCUACGCCGUGCACCCGGAUGGACACACCAUCUUCAUGUCUGUGCUCAACAAUCACAAUAUGAAACGCCGUACCUUCUCCUUCGACACCGGGCACGUCGAGUGGAGGUUCCAUGGGGAACGGGCCUUGCCUUUCCAAGGCCAGGGCUACUAUGACAGCACGCUGGACGCAUGGGUUGGCCUUCGCGAGGAUGGCUACGUCUGCGCCUGCCAGGUCGCGCCCCGCAGCGGCGCCAUGCGGCCGGAGUGGAAGAUCGUCAAGGAGAAGAUGUUCCACAAGGUCCCGGAGAGGAAGCAGGCUGCGUCGUAUGCCACUCUCACGUACAUGGGCAACGCCAGGUUUUGCCUUAUGGAGUCCGUUGUACGUGAGGAAGUGGAGUAUGAGGAUGCCUUUGGUGAUUGUGAUGGCUGCAUGCUCCAUAUGACCAGGUUUGGCCUCAGGUACAGUCAUAAGGGAGAGCUGCAGACGACCAUCGAUUUUACCACCAGCUCUUAUCCAUUGUCGAAGCAUUUCACAGAUUUUUCUCCUGUAGCGUUCUGGAUGUAG
RNAcentral lists this ribosomal RNA (1065 nucleotides) under Triticum aestivum (bread wheat). Its description in RNAcentral is "partial small subunit ribosomal RNA". Lineage: Eukaryota; Viridiplantae; Streptophyta; Magnoliopsida; Poales; Poaceae. The record is from RNAcentral.